AGUGCCGAAACAGAGCCAAAGGGGAAAGAAAGAGAGAACCGGAAAACCCCAAGUCCCAAUGGGGGCAUCGCCACCAUCUCCUCCUCCGUGCCGCCGCCGCGGCUAAACCCCCCGCUAACCCCCACAAUCGAAUGCCUCCUCCUCCCCUCCCCGCCGCCGCCGCCGCAAAACCCUAAACCCCGCCGCCCCCACCAUGCGCCGCCUCCCGCCCCUGGCCCCGUCCGCCACCUCCUCCGCCGCCGCCGCUCCAUCCACCUCCACCCCGGACGUCGUCGCGGAGCUCGGCCGCAUCCUCUCCACCCGUCGCUGGAACAAGGGCCGCGCGUACAAGCGCCUCGCCCCCUCCGUCACCGCCGCGCACGUCGCCGACCUCUUCCGCGCGGACUCCACAGCCCCCGAGCCCGCCACCGCCCUCGCCUUCUUCGAGUGGCUCGCCCGCCGCGAUGGGUUCCGCCACACCGCCGACUCCCACGCGGCGCUCCUCCACCUCCUGUCGCGCCGACGCGCCCCCGCGCAGUACGAGAGGCUCGUCGUGUCCAUGCUCAAUUGCUCCGACACCGCGGAGGACAUGCGCGUCUCGGCCGACGCCAUUCAGGCAAUCCGUCGAACGGGUAGCGCGCGCCUUGCGCUGUCCCCGAAGUGCUACAACUUCGCCCUUCGAUCGCUGGCGCGGUUCGACAUGACGGAGUAUAUGGGGAGGGUGUACUCGCAGCUUGUUCAGGAUGGUCUGUUGCCGGACACAGUGACGUACAAUACCAUGAUUAAGUCAUACUGCAAGGAAGGUGAUCUCACCACCGCGCACCGGUAUUUCAGGCUGUUGCUGGAGGGUGGGUUGGAACCAGAGACGUUCACAUGUAAUGCAUUGGUGUUGGGUUACUGCCGAACGGGUGAAUUGAGGAAGGCUUGCUGGCUAUUCCUGAUGAUGCCGCUGAUGGGUUGCCAGAGAAAUGAGUACUCCUACACCAUUUUAAUUCAGGGGCUCUGUGAUGCUAAAUGUGUAAGGAAGGCACUUGUGCUGUUCUUGAUGAUGAAGAGAGAUGGCUGCUCUCCAAAUGUGCGCGCUUUUACAUUCUUGAUCAGCGGACUUUGCAAGUCAGGUAGGGUUGGCGAUGCCAGGUUGUUGUUUGAUGCAAUGCCCCAGAAUGGUGUUGUUCCAAGUGUUAUGACAUACAAUGCAAUGAUUGUUGGGUACUCUAAGUUAGGUAGGAUGAAUGAUGCAUUGAAGAUUAAGGAGCUGAUGGAAAAAAAUGGCUGCCACCCAGAUGAUUGGACAUACAACACUUUGAUUUAUGGCCUAUGUGACCAAAAGACAGAAGAAGCUGAAGAAUUGCUGAAUAAUGCUGUUAAGGAAGGUUUUACACCUACAGUUGUUACAUUCACUAACUUGAUCAAUGGGUAUUGCAUGGCUGAAAAAUUUGAUGAUGCACUCAGGAUGAAGAAUAAGAUGAUGUCAAGCAAGUGUAAACUUGAUUUACAAGUUUUUGGAAAGCUGAUAAAUAGCCUCAUUAAGAAGGAUAGGCUAAAAGAGGCUAAAGAACUGUUGAACGAAAUUUCUGCAAAUGGUUUAGUCCCAAAUGUCAUCACCUACACAUCUAUAAUUGAUGGGUAUUGCAAGAGUGGGAAGGUUGAUAUUGCGCUAGAGGUCUUGAAGAUGAUGGAACGUGAUGGUUGCCAGCCAAAUGCCUGGACCUACAAUUCUCUGAUGUAUGGGUUAGUUAAGGAUAAGAAACUACAUAAGGCAAUGGCUCUAUUAACUAAGAUGCAAAAAGACGGGAUAAUUCCUAAUGUUAUCACCUACACCACUUUACUUCAAGGUCAGUGCGAUGAACAUGAUUUCGAUAAUGCUUUCAGGUUAUUUGAAAUGAUGGAGCAGAAUGGUUUGAAGCCUGAUGAGCAUGCAUAUGCUGUGUUAACUGAUGCACUGUGUAAAGCUGGAAGAGCUGAAGAAGCUUAUUCAUUUAUUGUUAGAAAAGGAGUAGCUCUAACAAAGGUAUACUAUACUACUUUAAUUGAUGGUUUCAGUAAGGCAGGCAAUACUGACUUUGCUGCGACCCUUAUAGAGAGGAUGAUUGAUGAGGGUUGCACACCAGAUUCAUACACGUACAGUGUACUGCUGCAUGCUUUAUGCAAACAAAAAAGGCUGAAUGAAGCUCUGCCAAUACUGGAUCAGAUGUCUCUCAGGGGAAUAAAGUGUACCAUUUUUGCCUACACAAUACUAAUUGAUGAAAUGCUCAGGGAAGGAAAGCAUGACCAUGCUAAAAGGAUGUACAAUGAAAUGACUUCAUCAGGACAUAAGCCUAGUGCUACCACAUAUACUGUAUUCAUUAACUCAUACUGCAAGGAAGGUCGACUGGAGGAUGCUGAGGAUUUAAUCUUGAAAAUGGAAAGAGAAGGUGUUGCCCCUGAUGUGGUGACCUACAACAUACUCAUUGAUGGCUGUGGGCAUAUGGGGUAUAUAGAUCGUGCAUUUUCUACUCUGAAGCGCAUGGUGGGUGCAUCAUGUGAGCCAAAUUACUGGACCUAUUGUCUUUUGCUCAAGCAUCUUCUAAAGGGCAAUCUGGCUUAUGUUCGUUCUGUAGAUACUUCUGGCAUGUGGAACUUGAUAGAGUUGGAUAUUACCUGGCAACUUCUUGAAAGGAUGGUGAAGCAUGGACUAAAUCCCACCGUAACGACAUACAGUUCUCUCAUUGCAGGAUUCUGCAAAGCUGGACGUCUUGAAGAAGCAUGCCUUCUUCUAGAUCAUAUGUGCGGAAAAGGUCUAUCUCCCAAUGAAGACAUAUACACAUUGCUUAUCAAGUGCUGUUGCGAUACCAAGUUCUUUGAAAAGGCUUUGUCGUUUGUUAGCAUCAUGUCAGAAUGUGGCUUUCAACCUCAACUCGAGUCCUACAGGCUUCUUGUGGUAGGCCUUUGUAAUGAAGGAGACUUUGAGAAGGUUAAAUCUCUGUUCUGUGACUUGCUUGAACUGGGCUAUAAUCAUGAUGAGGUUGCAUGGAAAAUUCUAAAUGAUGGUUUGCUCAAAGCUGGCUAUGUUGAUAUAUGUUUCCAGAUGCUGUCCAUUAUGGAGAAAAGAUACUGUUGCAUUAGUUCUCAAACAUAUGCAUUGGUGACAAAUAAAAUGCAUGAAGUAUCCAGUAGCCUUGUUAGUGAAGUCAGAGAAGAAGCUAGGUGACUAAUGCUGUCUUUCAAGCUGAUAGAUGUUUAAUUUCACUGGCAAUUCUUUUCCUUGGUGAGCAGUUGAGUUAAUCACAUGAUUGUUGUGAGCCCGACCCAGCAUUCUUGAUGCAGCUUUCAUAUGGAACUUGCAAAUCCAAUGGAACCUGGUCAUGUUUGAUUUUUUGGAUAGCCUUCCUAGUGGGCUAGGAACUCCUUGCUUGGAGAGGAGAGCUAAUUUGGUUCUCAUUUAAAAGCAAGGAAAUCAGUGUUCUGCCCGAGAGCAAGUCUAAAGACAAGGAAACCAAACUACUUCCAUCACCACUAACCUUGGUAGUUAAGGGAUAAUUUAACUGCAAUUCUGAUGGUACUGAGGUACAUGGGCAAAUUGCUCAUAGCAUUUCAGUGUGCAAAACCGACAUUAAAAGUCCAACACAGUAAGGGUGUUGUUUGGCCAGUUUAAUCCCAACACAUGUUGGUCAAUCUAACUGGUUCAUCAGAAACGAAAUGUACGUACUAAAUCCUGGUCAAAUGAAAGGCACUUCUUCAUUGCAGUUGAGAGAUAUUUCAACUUUGCAUCAUGUCACAUUGGAACUGUAUAAAACUGCUGUGAUCAUUUUAUGCCUACAUUGAGCUGUGUUUCUAUCUUCAAGAAAUCACCACGUAAGCUCCCCUGGUUCGACUCGGAUGGCUUCAUAUUAUCGACUGGCUGAACGCCUGCACUCUAUUCGGUAGACCAGCUGGGUCACAUCGUGGAGCCAUAAAAGCUGGUGCAACAAUACAACGAUUGACUUGAAAGAACUAAAAUACGUGUUAGAUAGGAUGAUAGGUUAUAUUUACUGUAAACAAUGAUGCCUACGUAAAUAGAUAAAUUUCAUAGCAUUUUUCCCUCGUAUUAUAGCCCAUUCUUUUAUUUCUUCAAACCGUAUUGCUUUUCAAGGGGUUAAUACUUCUGUGAUGAACUGUGUAUUAAUAAUUGAUGAAUAAAUCAUUGUUGUGACU
Molecule: non-coding RNA, 4152 nt
Organism: Oryza sativa Japonica Group (Japanese rice)
Lineage: Eukaryota; Viridiplantae; Streptophyta; Magnoliopsida; Poales; Poaceae
Source: RefSeq, a predicted model, not a curated record